ACGCUGGCGGCGUGCCUAACACAUGCAAGUCGAACGAAGCAUUGGAGUUGAUCCCUUCGGGGUGACGCACCUUAUGACUUAGUGGCGGACGGGUGAGUAACACGUGAGCAACCUGCCUCUCAGAGUGGAAUAACAGUUGGAAACGGCUGCUAAUACCACAUAACGUUUUUGUGCCGCAUGACACUUCAACCAAAGAUUUAUCGCUGAGAGAUGGGCUCGCGUCCGAUUAGGUAGAUGGUGGGGUAACGGCCUACCAUGCCGACGAUCGGUAGCCGGACUGAGAGGUUGAUCGGCCACAUUGGGACUGAGACACGGCCCAGACUCCUACGGGAGGCAGCAGUGGGGGAUAUUGCACAAUGGGCGCAAGCCUGAUGCAGCAACGCCGCGUGCGGGAAGACGGCCUUCGGGUUGUAAACCGCUGUCCUUGGGGAAGAAACAAAUGACGGUACCCAAGAAGGAAGCCACGGCUAACUACGUGCCAGCCGCGGC
This 489-nucleotide ribosomal RNA is filed under the name uncultured bacterium. RNAcentral describes it as "bacterial SSU rRNA". It matches the Rfam family "Bacterial small subunit ribosomal RNA", at positions 33 to 518 of the family's 1533-position model. The record is from RNAcentral.